CAGGAAUCGCGAGUCGACCACUAGCGCGGAUCCAAAACCGCCGGGAGCGGGCAACAAACGUGGACGCUACGUCUAAGGACGGAGGCGAAGGGAGAAGAAAGGGCUCCCUGCUUGUUAUUUCUGAGUUGCCUUUAUUUUUUUCCCGGGCCGCGUGGGAUCGGUUAUUGUUUCCCGCGGUGGGGGCAGCGCCGAGGCGAAACAGAUGACGCCAUCGCGCAGGCAUCAGCAGAGCCGGCAGUGGCAGUCUUUCUCGUGGGCAGGAGCCGCGCGGGCAGCAGCAGCCCGCGGCAGAAGGGGCGGUGCGAGGCAGCGGCGCGGGCGGCAGCGGAGCUUUCCCGGCGCCGGGACAGCAGUGGCUCGGCGGCGGCGGAACCUUUCCAUGGCCGGAACAACAGCGGCAACAGUCCGGGCGGCGUCGGAGCCUCUCCGUUGCCGGAACGUGACAGCAGUCGCCUCUCUCUCUCGCAGCGGAGAGCCGGGUUGGAGCCGCCGGUUUUGUAGCUUAAGGGGAGGGCGAGGCACUGCUUCUGGGAGCCAUCCCCGGUGCAGUGCGCAGUGAUGUGGCCCGUGGCGAGCCUUGCCUGCCUGGCCACCCCUAGCAGAAGGGCAGGGGUGGCAGCAAUUUAUUCCCAGCAUCCUGCAUGAAGAGAGGCGUUUAAUAGCACCAGCACUGUGGCAGUUGCCACUGUCUAUGCUGUGGCGAUGGGACUGCAUGGCUAACAGUGAAAAUAUGAUGAACUACUCCCCUAUGUGGAACCUAGACAAAAUCAACCUCUCAGUGCUGCGGGAUCUUGCAAGAACCUUUGAAUUAGUGGAACUUGUUGGCAAUAGUACCUACAAGCAGCAGUUUUUCUUCUAGCCAGAGAAGAGAAGGAAGUGAGGACAUGAGGAAAAACAGCAUGGCAGCACCAAUGUCAGUGGAAAAGAAAGAGGGGGCGGAAGUGCUCCAAACAUUAGAGCCGAGAUUCUUCUGCAAGCCGUGGUGAACACCAUGGUGAAACAAACUGUCCCCUUGUAAUGCAUGAAGUCCACGGGGGAUGCAGAGAUCCACUCACAGCUGGUGGGAAAAGUGCUCAUGCCAGAGUGGGUGGAUGCCAAAAAAAACUGUGAUCUAGUGGAAAACCUGAACAGAGAGAGAGGGCCUCUGCUUCCAGAGACAGAGAGAGAGGGCCCUGGCUUCCAAACUAGAACAGCCUAUAUCCUUAGAGGACUGCACCCCGUGGAUGAGCGACCCACGCCACAACAGUUUUGGGAAGACUGUUUGCCUGGGGGAGGGACCCCACAGAAUAGCAGAAAAAAAACUCCUCUCCCUGAGCGAACAGAAAAAGAUCUCGAGUAACAAACUGGCCAAAACCCCCAUGCCCUGUCUCCCUGCACUGUCAGUGGGAAGGAGGGAGGGGCUGGGGGGAAAAAAGGUGUUUUAAAGGCUUAUUUUACUUAUCAUUAUCCUCCUCUGACUCUGUUAAUAAUAAAUUUACUUUAUACCUUUAAAAUUGAACCUA
Molecule: long non-coding RNA, 1502 nt
Organism: Haemorhous mexicanus (house finch)
Lineage: Eukaryota; Metazoa; Chordata; Aves; Passeriformes; Fringillidae
Exons: 2
Source: RefSeq, a predicted model, not a curated record